GCAGUGGUGUUUCAGUGAUAGAAUUCCUACCUUCCAUGUGGGAGACCCAGGUUCGAUUCCAGGAUAAUGCC
Molecule: transfer RNA, 71 nt
Filed under: Loxodonta africana (African savanna elephant)
Lineage: Eukaryota; Metazoa; Chordata; Mammalia; Proboscidea; Elephantidae
Rfam family: tRNA
About the family: Transfer RNA (tRNA) molecules are approximately 80 nucleotides in length. Their secondary structure includes four short double-helical elements and three loops (D, anti-codon, and T loops).
Source: Rfam by way of RNAcentral